GGUUCUGGUGCCGCCCCAGUUCCUGUGCCUGAGGAACAUCCGCACCUUCCUGAGCGCCUGUGCCGACAAGUUCGGGCUCCCCAAGCACCGGCUCUUCGGCGCCUUCGACCUCUUCGAUGUCCACGACUUCGGCAAGGUCAUUGAGACCCUCUCGACGCUCUCCUGGACCCCCAUUGCCCAGAGCAAAGGCCUCACGCCCUUCCCCAUUGGUGACUGUGUUGGGGAUGAGGACAUCUACAGCGGCCUCUCUGACCUCAUUGAGUGAGUGGGG
Molecule: long non-coding RNA, 271 nt
Organism: Neopsephotus bourkii (Bourke's parrot)
Lineage: Eukaryota; Metazoa; Chordata; Aves; Psittaciformes; Psittacidae
Exons: 3
Source: RefSeq, a predicted model, not a curated record